UACGAAGGGGGCGAGCGUUGUUCGGAAUUACUGGGCGUAAAGGGCGCGUAGGCGGUCCUUCAAGUCAGGCGUGAAAGCCCCGGGCUCAACCUGGGAACCGCGCUUGAGACUGGCGGACUCGAGUUCGGGAGAGGAUGGUGGAAUUCCCAGUGUAGAGGUGAAAUUCGUAGAUAUUAGGAAGAACACCGGUGGCGAAGGCGGCCCACUGGCUCGAUACUGACGCUGAGGUGCGAAAGCGUGGGGAGCAAACAGG
Molecule: ribosomal RNA, 253 nt
Filed under: uncultured bacterium
Lineage: Bacteria
Description: partial 16S ribosomal RNA
Rfam family: Bacterial small subunit ribosomal RNA
Source: RNAcentral